RNAcentral lists this ribosomal RNA (220 nucleotides) under uncultured bacterium. Its description in RNAcentral is "partial 16S ribosomal RNA". It matches the Rfam family "Bacterial small subunit ribosomal RNA", at positions 57 to 305 of the family's 1533-position model. The record is from RNAcentral.
GCAAGUCGAGCGAGACCUUCGGGUCUAGCGGCGGACGGGUUAGUAACGCGUGGGAAUAUACCCUUCACUACGGAAUAGCCUCGGGAAACUGGGAGUAAUACCGUAUACGCCCUUCGGGGGAAAGAUUUAUCGGAGAAGGAUUAGCCCGCGUUAGAUUAGGUAGUUGGUGGGGUAAUGGCCUACCAAGCCUACGAUCUAUAGCUGGUUUGAGAGGAUGAUC